RNAcentral lists this unclassified non-coding RNA (11556 nucleotides) under Ooceraea biroi (clonal raider ant). Its description in RNAcentral is "tyrosine-protein phosphatase 99A, transcript variant X6". The record is from RNAcentral. Lineage: Eukaryota; Metazoa; Arthropoda; Insecta; Hymenoptera; Formicidae.
UACCAGUGCGGAUCGUGAUUCUGCGGGACGCGCAGCGUCGCGGCGCCCUCCGUGUCUCGUAUCCUUGCCGAUCGCGCGCCCGUCCGUCCGUCCAUCAGCGAUUCGACCGAACGGCGCGAACGGCCGGUCAGGCUCCAGUGCGCCGAAAUUUGCGGGGGGUGGGAACGACAUCGAGAUAUUCGGGGAGGUUCACAGGGAUGGGACAGAAUAAUUUGCCAAAAAUAUCGGAGACACAUGACGCCAUGAUAAGACGUUUCUUAUUACUGUGACGACCGGACACCGAUCGUGUUCACCGAGCCUGAAUAGUCGACUGCCCGGAACUUUAUCCCGUUUUUCUCUCUUUGGUUUCUCAAUGUUGUUGUCAGUUAUACUCGUAUUUUGACGUGCAAGACGCUGUUUCGAUGGCCGGACAGCGGCUGGCAAUACAGGUACAAAAACGAGGCGGAAAUUGACACGCUGAAAGUACGUUUGUUCGCGUUCGCGAACCGAGUCGGUCUCGGUCAACUCUAGUCUCGAUCUCAAUCGAUGCAGAUCGACAAGUUCGCUUAAAUAGUCCCAUUACUUAAUCGACGUUUGUAUUUCAAUAGCAUUCCCGUGCAUUCCUGUGCUCUCCCCCCGCUUUCAUUAAGGAGUUCGCGCCGAGCGUAAUUGCUCAGAUCCCAUUUGGAGCAAAAGAGCGCGGAGUGUCACUUAAAACUUAGUUGGAUUACCGUUCUUGUUGCAUACUGUGCAUCGCUGCUUGAACACGUUUUGCUUCGCGUAAGAAUCGACUAUCCAUUGAGGCUAUUCUUCUCUCUCUCUUUCUCUCUCACCUUCUAUCUUUCUCUGCACUUUGUCGAUUAUGACUUAAGGCGUACACACUUCUUUGAGUUUUGCCGAUGGUUAAUUCUCUCCUCCGACGGCGCAAGGGUUUCACGCGCAGAUAAUUAAUUCGCUGUACCGUAUCGGAAACGGACAUGUCGGAAAAAUUCAGCAGGUACAAUCCGGCUUUUAUGUUCUCUUCCCGUGGGCGCCAUAAAUUAUUGAGCAUUCUCUCUGUUUAUUAAUCAGCCGGCCAUACUUGCCAUUGGGACAUCAAUAAUAUACGUAUUAUUGCUUAUACAACAGCCGUUGGUCAGUGCUGGACGUGGCGCGAUAUUUUUGCAUACGUAAGCAUGUGCAUUCGGCGGCGCGGAACUAGGAAUAAAUGCGAAAUAUUCGCGCGAGAAUUCUGCUGGUCGUUGUGUCGAAUCGGAAAUCGCGCGCUGAGAAUGGCAGUUUCGCCAGGUCAACGAGCGGAAUACGAUUAUCGUUACACUCUGAAGAUUAUCGUUAUAUAUUACAAAGAAUCCUUCGCAUUCUGCACAAGUCUUCUCUUGCUUCGACAAUGUGUAAUUCCACGAGUUCUCGUACUCAUCCGUAGUUAUAUCGCGUAACCGCGAUUGAGUGAAACGCAGGCUUCGUCGUUUCUGCCUUUUGCAUUAACGAGCCAAGAGCCACCUCGCGAGAAAUAUUUCCUCGUCAACCAUGUACUAAAACAUCCGCGGACUUUUCUGGUCUAACGAGUUCAAGCAGCAAAGGAAUCUGUAACAUUCUCGCUUUCGACGUUGUCGUCGGCGCGCGCUCGUCCGCGUUUCACCGUGGAAAUUCCUCGCUCCCGUGGUGCAUUAGCGAUUCCCUACAGCAGCAGGUUCCGCGAUCGACGGCUGGUUGGAUCAGAUCCACCGGCGUGGAUCGACUGGACUCGACUGGACUCGACUCGACUCGACUCGACUCGACUCGACUCGACUCGACUCAACUCGACCUGACUUGACUUGACUUGGCUUUAGUCAGUUCGGCCUGACUCGCGCGGCGCGGCGCGACACGGCGUUUUAUCCGGAUCUCCGGCCGCGGCCGAUCGGCGAGAUCGUAAAACGACCGGCCGACGGACUCGUUGUCAGUGGUAUUUCCAAUUGGCCGGUUGCGAUCUCUGAAGGGAAACCGGUUCGACGACCAGCCCUGGAUGUGUUACCCCCGGUCUCCUACCUUGCGCUCUCUCCUGCGUCUCUCGUUCGUCUUCUCUUGCUCUCUUCUUCUUUUUCUCGUUUCGCUUCUUCAUCAUCCUCUUCUUCGUCUUCUUCUUGCUCCCUGGCGUCUCGCACUCGCCUUCUUCUUAUCCGUGGUCGAACUCGCGAGCCCACCUCCCGCGCCGACUACUAGUUCCUGGCGUUACUUUUGCAGUGGUACGCGCGGCACGGCUGUAAUUCCUAACCGCGGCCUCGCACGUGCACUUAAAACGCCGUGGUAUCGAGGGGUAUAUCGAGGUUCGGCCCGCGCGAUCGUCCAUGUCGUAGCUGCACGUUCCGCGCGCCAGCCUGGUGGCAUCGUUUGUUUUCCAAAGAACGUGAAGGGAACGUGGUGAAGCCGAUUUAUUCGCGAUCGGUCAGCGGUCUCCCUUCGCGAUUGCGAUGGACGUACCCAGGUGCGCCGGCGAUCGAUGCGUAAACGUUUUGCCGGGGCUAUAGAUCGACACAAAGGAGCAAGAACGCUCGGUGCAGCGAAGACCCGGCGGUGGCGACGACGGCUUCGACGGAGACUUUAAAAUGACCAGGCAACGUCGACCGCUCUGAGACGAAUAAAAAAUAUCGAGACUAGCAGUCAUGUAGAAGAAAGCCGACGUUGGAUCAAGGACUCUUGGUUGAUCCUGGCAAGAGAUUUCCGGGAAAGGUCAACGGCGGAUUCGAAUCGCCGGUCUUUUGGUCUCGGUUGAGACGACAAAAAAACGAGAGAUGAGACUCUAAAGGAGGUUGGAGAGAUAUUAUCUACGAGUCAAACUCAGUGAGUUCCGCGAGUUAAACGAGAACAAGGGAGGAGAACGGUCUUUUCCGGCAAGAUGUUGUGAACGUCUCGCAGGGACGUUGGCGCGCGCGAAUUUCGUGAAUUUUCCUGGACGGUGGAGGAAGAAAAGUUCCUUGUGUUUGGUUACCAAGUUGGACCGAACUCGGAGACUUUUCGGGUCAGCUUGCCCGGAAAAUUGGCAGUGUUAGUUCGUGGGGAUUCUUCGCGGUGCAUCGUCGAGGACUGCGCAAAAUUUUCACGUAUGAGCGAUGUCCACGGACGUCGUAACAUCCGUAGCGAAAGUUCGGCCGUUAGUUCCGCUCCGUUGAACGAUACCGAGGAAUCUUCGCCGGCGGCUGAUUCUUUCGCGCGAUUACGCGAGGCGGAACGACGAGCUUGAAGAUUCCGCGGAGUCGACCGCGCGGACGGUUGCACGCCUUGCUCUCGCAAUUCGUUUACAAUAAUUGUGAAGCGAUCAUGCGUCGCACGAACGAUCGCGGCAGCGUCGUCAAUGGUGCACGUCCAAUCGGCAGCCACGGCUGCAUCAGGUUACGGAUUCCACGCGAUGCUGCGGACGUUGCUCGUACACGUACCGGUCCCGAUGAUCGGGCUUAGCCCGUGGGUCGCCGUCCAAACGAACGAGAACGCUCGUACUUCCGCGAGGAUCGAAUCACGGAUGUCGGCAGCCCGAAAUCGUCAAACGAACCCGAAGAAGAGCAAUCGCAAGAGCGUUACGAAAGAGGAUCCAUAAAAAUCCAAGCACACGCUCUACGAACCUAGUCAAAAAUAAUUGGGUUUCGUGGCACCGUGCGCGUUUUAAACGCACACCUGCACGCGCGUGCGACGUAGCGCAAACGUGCACCAGGACUCAGUGAAUGUGAAAAGUGUCGGGUUCGUUAUAUCGCGCUUGUUCGUAACUCCUCCCUCGUCGGCUUUGUUAUAUCGCGCGCCUGCCCAUUCUCAUUCUCUCAAGCAGCACGCGUACGUACACGCACACACUACACGGAGUGUUGGAUCGCGUGCCUGCGGUCUCGUGCCCUCGUGCGCUUGUCGUUACACGUCCGAUCGUAAGUGUAACAAAACUUCCUAUAUACGCGCGGUAUCGCGCCUCGUCACGGUACAGUAAAGUUGCUGCUGCGGACCGGGCCUCCAAUUCAGAACGAACGAGAUCUAUCCUCUCAUAAGGAAGAGAGAGAGAGAGAGUAUAAUAAAGAGAGAUAAAGAAGAGUGAAAGAGAAGGAAGAGAGCGAGGGAGGAAGAUUGGCACGGGAAGAUAUGCGCGGUGUAAAAUACUCGUUUCGGAUCGGUCCCGACUCUCGGAAGUCGAGGAUUCGUCGGUACGGUAACACUCGCAUUUAGGCACCUGAGACGUUCCGUGCGGCGGAAAGAGACGGGGAAGUGUAGUUAGGGAGGAGAAGGAGGAAGUGGUGGAGCACGGCAAGUCGAGGAGGGUGCGUGCACGGUUCUAAUCAACGAGUCGAUCGAGUUAGAUUGGGGAAUCGAAGUGGUCCCGAAAGGGGACAUCCCCGAUAAAAGCCAUGGGCAUCAUGGAUACGUGGAAGCGCGGUCGGAUAAUCUAUGCUUAUCUCAUAUGGGUCGUCUUCAAGGCUACUACGGCGGGGGGACUUUACGAUGCCAUGAAUUCACUGGUGGAGGAGGUGGUCGUGGAAGCGGGGAAGACCGUCACGCUGAGCUGCCCGGGUGUGACGGAGGACUCGUUGGUGUUGAUGCUCGAGUGGCGAGCGAACGGGAUGCGGUUGCUCGAGUACAAGAGCAGCAGCACGACCGUCGUCCGGCACUUUCGGGACAGAAUGUCGAUGUCGUUGAAAAAUUAUUCGCUGUACCUGAAUCCCGUCAUCGCCGCCGACAGCGGUAUGUACGAGUGCGUCGUGAACAACCGGAACGCACUGGAUGCUGUGAUCAAACUCAUCGUGCGAGAUGUGCCCGAUCCACCAGAACGGCCGCUUGUCAUAAGUUACACGUCCAAAGCCGUGAAUAUAUCGUGGGCACCUGGUGUUAAUUCCCACAACACUCCAAUUUCGCAGUACGUCAUCUACACCCGCAUCGACGAGGAUGGCCCGUGGAACGCGACCAAGGAGAUCAUAACGCCGCACAACGACACGUUCUACACCGUCGAGAACCUGAGGCCAUUCACGGUGUACAGUUUCCGGGUGGCGGCGAUAAAUGCUUUAGGGCGCAGCAAACCCAGUCAGGCUUCCUACUACAUGGUGACUCUUCGUGAAAUUCCGGAGGGAAAACCGACCAUCACUGCGGCCCAUAAUACCUCAGCGUCGUCUAUUUACCUGGCAUGGAAACCGCCGAGUCGUGACACCAUACACGGCGAGUUCCUCGGAUACCGUAUAGGAUACCGACGACGCGAGAAAGCGGAUGAAGAAAUGAAAAACAUUUAUAUACGCGAUCCUGGCGUCGACAAUCACAGUAUCCACAAUUUGGAUACCUUCACGCAGUAUCUCGUCUCCCUGCAAGUGUUCAACCCCGAGGGUCACGGACCGGCUUCUACCGUAACGGUGAUGACCGACGAGGGUUCUCCAACAAAGCCGGAGAAUCUCACCUCACGAGACAUCACGGGCACCACCAUUAAACUCUCGUGGUCGGAACCCGAGAACGCCAACGGUGUCAUCGCCGGUUAUCGCAUUUACUAUAUGUAUUCCAACUACACAGACGUCAAGAUGCAUAUACCCGAUAAAGCUCCCGACGAUCCGAGUAUCGAUUUCGUCCUGAAAGAACUGCGCCCGUACACCGAAUACAAAAUCUGGGUGAAGGCUUACACGCGGAAGAACGAAGGCGAUCCUUCCGACCAAAUUAUUCGCAGGACCGACAUCGUAGGACCAAGCGCUCCUAUCAUCUUGAACUUGACUUGCCAAUCUCAUGAGUCCGUCUACGUGCAUUGGGCCAGGCCGGCCCAUUUCUGGGGCUCGAUCGACUAUUACUAUAUCCGUUAUCGAAAGGAAAAUACAAGAGUUUACGAGGAUAUCGAGCUGCCCACUGAGAAGAAUCAUAUCGAAAGCGGAACGAUUAUACCCAACUUGACGAUGAACACCGUGUACGAGAUUAUGGUGCGGGGAGCCACCAAGAGCACGAUCAACAGCCACCUCAUCAUCCAAGGCGAAUUUUCGAUACCCACAAAGGUUUUGGUGACCCGCGACUGCGACAAGAUACCGCCCUUGAUGCGCCGCAGCAGCAAGGAGCUCAGCGCCGGAGUGAUCGCCGGAAUGGUCUGCGCCUGCUUCGCCGUGAUGCUGGCAAUCACGGCCUUCGUGCUGUGGAAGCCGAUUUUUAGGAAAUGCUUCCACACCGCCUACUAUUAUCUGGAUUAUCCGCCGCGAAACGUUCCCACUUUGCAAGAAUGGGAGAACAGCGAGCAGGAUGGCGAGAGGACCGCCGUGGCGGUCCAGCAAUUCGUCCAGCACGUGGCGAGUCUGCACGCCGACGGAGACAUCGGCUUCAGCAAGGAGUACGAGCUGAUACAGUCCGAAACGGGCGAUUACACCGUGGAGAACUCCCAGUUCGCCGAGAAUAAGGCCAAGAACAGAUACUUGAAUAUACUUGCGUACGACCAUACCCGCGUGCAAUUGCUGUCUUGCGGCGGUGGGCCGCCCAAGAAGGGCCAGGACUACGUUAACGCGAAUUACAUCGAUGGUUGGCAAAGACCGCGUGCCUACAUUGGCACUCAGGGUCCACUUCCGCCGACGUUUGAUGGCUUCUGGCGGAUGGUCUGGGAACAGCGCGUAUCGAUAGUCGUGAUGAUUACCAAUCUGGUCGAACGCGGUCGUAGGAAAUGUGACAUGUACUGGCCCAAGGAGGGUACCGAGACGUACGGUUACAUUCAAGUGACUUUGGUGAGGGAGGACAUCAUGGCGACGUACACCAUUCGCACUCUCCAAAUUCGGCAUUUGAAGCAGAUCAAGAAGAAGAAAAAUGGGACCAACAUGGGCGAGCGCACCAUCUGGCAAUAUCAUUACACCAGCUGGCCCGAUCACGGCGUGCCCGAUCAUCCAUUGCCCGUUCUCAGCUUCAUCCGUAAAUCGUCCAACGCGAAUCCGCCCGACGCCGGACCAAUCGUGGUCCAUUGCAGCGCCGGCGUCGGACGUACUGGCACAUACAUCGUGAUCGACGCUAUGCUGAAACAGGCCAAAGCCAAGAACGAAAUUAACGUGUUCGGUUUUCUCAAGCACAUCCGCACCCAGAGAAACUUCCUGGUGCAGACGGAAGAGCAGUACAUCUUCAUUCAUGACGCCCUGCAAGAAGCGAUCGAGAGCGGUGAGACUAAUAUCGAAAUCAACAACUUAAUGCAGCACGUGCAGGACAUGCUGUGCCCGUCGAACAACAAGACUGACGCGUGGAAUAACAUCGAAGCCCAGUAUAAGUUGGUGACGUCGUGGAAGCCGAAGGAUUUCAAUCUCGUGUCCGCCAACAAAGCCUGCAACAUCCACAAGAAUCGUAACAUGGAUAUCAUCCCCAUCGAAAACGCGCGUGUUCACCUGACGCCGAAACCCGGCGUCGAUGGCAGCGACUACAUCAAUGCGACCUGGGUUUCCGGUUUCCAACGCAAUCGCGAGUUCAUCAUAACGCAGCAUCCGAUGGGGAACACCAUAAUGGAGUUCUGGCAAAUGAUGUGGGACCAUAAUGCGCAGACGAUCGUCAUGCUGACUCAGUGCGACGAGGAAUAUCCGGAAUUUUGGCCCACCGAAGGAAAGGAUCUGGAAUCCGAAACGUUCCGUGUACGUCUUUGCGGGAUGAAGGAAACUGUGAACGGCACUAUCCUGCUCGAAGUGGCGGUCCGGUCGUUGCAGGAUGAUUACGAGCUCAGCGCCAGGAUCGUUCAGGCGCCGUCGAAUCAGAAUGGGCUGUGGCCGCACAACGACAAUCCAAAGACUUUCGUAAACGUCAUCCAGGAUUUCCAUCGGGACUAUCAAAAUGGCCCUAUCGUCGUAAUGGACAGGUAUGGCGGAGUCGAGGCUGCGCUCUUCGUUCUGCUGACUACCUUGAACAAGCAGAUGGAAUUCGAACAGAGUGCCGACAUUUACAUGUUCGCGAAGCUGCUUUACAUGAAGCGACCCGGCGUUUUCUGCUCAAAGGAGAAUUACAUGCUGCUGUACCAGUGCUUGGAAUCCAUGCUGUCGACGAAGGGCCGCGCCGAGCCCGACCUGUACGCCAUGGCAAACGGGCACAUCGCCACGCUUAACGAUCCGAACGAGAUCAGGUCAGCCUCGUCAAUCCAGCAGAUCGAUUAUCCAUCCAAAUCCGCCAUUCGUCCGUCGUCCGUUAUCCGCGAGUACGCCACCGUGGAGGUGAGCUCCGAAUACCUGUCCGACUACACCAUCCCCAUACGCGUGGACCACCCGAUCGAGUCGUCCAGCAGCCGCGGCAGCGAGCCCUGCCUCUCGUCCCACGGUGGUAGCAACGAUCACGUGUCGGAGAAGAGCAUGAUGAUGUCGCAGCGGAACAUCAGCUACCACAAUCCACCGGCGUCCGGCGUGGCCGUGAUGGUCGACGCCAACGGCUACAUCACGAACGGCAGCAUGCGCGUGCCCACCGACAGUAUGGAGCCCAGCUGCAAGAUGAUGCCGCAAUGAUGCCGGCCUAUCUUCGGUUGCAGCGCACCCUCGCGAAGGUCAGCCCCGCUGUAAUCGCACCUUCCGGUCGCUCCGGAGGUUUAAUCUCGACCUGGUAAGUGCUGCAUCCCGCGGGAGUGCUCGCUGCGACACCGCGAUCAAAUGGAACGCCACACUGAGAAAGAGAAUUCUGUUGUUCCACCGUGCAGAGAAAAGAGAGAGAGAGAGAGAGAGAGAAAGAGAGACUGGAUCCUCGCAUCGCGCAAGGAGAUCGUGCAAAACGAUUGGAUGGUUCACGAGAGAGCCGGAGGAUCUCUUCGAGGGCGGGUGUCUUUGGUGUGUACAUAGAGCUGCGUGAACGUCAGGAAGAUGUGCGGCGGGGGAGUCCGGGUAUCGGUACGAUGAGGCGAGACUCCCCCGCUGAGCGGGGAGUUCCCGGAGCGCGCGAGGGCGGACAGUGCCAAACGGAGAGACAGAAGUGCCGCCGAAACGCAUGCCGGGCGUGUGGGUGAUGUUUAUCUUAUCUGUCUCGCACUCUUCGGACUCCUCGAUGUUCGUUACCGCCACAAACGACGACGCCACCAAGAGGAUCGACCGCGUGACUGCAUUUUCCGUCGUUCGUCCAUCGGAACAUCCGUUGGCCGUCGCUGAUGAGAGGAGGCCACGGUCUUAUCCUUUCUGCGUUCGAAACGGGGUCUCCUCCAUCCGCGCGAGAGAGGACGACUCGCCGAAGGCGAAGAGAUCCGCGCGAUCCGAGCUUCAGCCUCCGUCGGAUUCCCGUUUACGCACUCGGAAAUAUGACAAAGACUGCGUUUGUAACUGUAGUAUUCGCGUGGACCAUACGUGGGGAAGAGCACAAACGGUCGCGUUCCGAGUUGGUUUUUAUGUGAUAUACAUAAUAUAUAUAUAAAUAUAAAUAUAUAUAUAUAUAAAUAUAAAUAUACGUGCGUAUGUGCAUAUGUGUAUUUUAUUAAGCGAGAUCGCGCGGCGAAUUAUCGCGGGAGUUGUCGGCGUUCAGAGUCUGUUACUUAGGUAAAAAUAAGAAACCGGCGACACGCGGAAGCGGAAGUGUGCACUAAAGCGGUGGAUGUAUACGUUGAGCGCUUAUAUCGGAAAACCCUUUAAUACGCGAAACCGUGUGAAAAAGAAAAUCGCACCCGAUUGCACGUUCGAUUGUUUCGUAUAUCUAUAAGUUGCCACGAUUUAUAACUUCGUAAUUGUUUGUAACGACUCGUCUCUCGCAGCGCACGUAUAAAGGAGACUCUCAUUCGAACGUACGCAUUUACGGCCUACGGUAUAACUGUAAAAGAAGGAAACGAAACUGUGAAAGAGAAACUGUUUGUACGUAUGUUUAAACGAUAAUGUGCUAACGAUCCACGAUCGACACGUAGGCUCAUCGAGAUCGACCGUAACUGUACGAAGGAGCGUGUCGAAUGGUAGAAAAUUAGGCAGAGUCCUGAGGGAUAACGGGUAUCACGAAUCCGCGCCACACUCAAUUAAUAUCCGAUGAAUACGAUGAGACAGACACGCGAAGCCGAUGCGUAAAACAACGGAGCCGAGACUGCCAAACGAGCACCUCUAUGAACAUUCCUUCCUUUCUCUCAUCUUUUUCCGUAACUCUUUCGCUACGAUAUUUCAGCGAUGGGAUGACACUGGCGCGGUGCACAAUAAAUGUAGUUUCCGAUGUGUAAUUUCAUUUGUUCUGUAAUUCAUUUGUCGGUCUCUGCAUUAAAAACUCAGAAAUGAAAGAAUCAAGAAGUCCCAUAUGUUCAAAUUAGAGGUAAAUGUAAAACUAUUAAGUGAAAACGAGAGCAAAGUCAGGUGCCCGCAAUUAUUUAGUUCGUAUUAAAAAUGCAAAGAGAGCCACGCCGAUGCAAUUACUCUGGAAAAAGUGCACAGAAAUAACGUGGAACAGAAUAUAUCAGCAGUGAACGGAUGUGACUAUAGCUAAUGGAUCAUAAUUGAUAUCAGUAGCGAAAGAGUUCGUGUUUGAGCAUAGCGACCGCACUGCCUUUAAUAGAAUUUUUGACAAAUCGAUUCUGACCAUCGCGAGAUCGAGGAUGAAAAGAAAAUGACUCGCGUCGAGGGGACGAGCCGCGGGAUGCGAUGCAUUGUCAAAAGCAUUGCAAACCGCAAACGAGAAAUCGCGAGUCUGUUUCUCCAUUCCUAGCACACGUCACGCGAAUCGCUCCCAUCGGCGCGUCUCCCAUCAUUAAUUUAUAAAUCAUUAAGCGAUAACGCGCCAGUGAGUCGCGCGGAACACGAAACGCCGGUCUAAUGCGGUUCUCAUCAAUUUUUAUCGCUCGACAAGCAGCACGUGUCUCAACGAAAAAGAAAAGAAAAACAUAAAUGCAAAAGAAAAGGCAAAGGAAAACGCAAAGAAAAAAACCUUUAGAGAUUAAACGGAUAUAAUGAUUGCGGUAUCAGUCAUUAUGUGCGAUAGUAUUACUCGUUUUUUUAACUCUGUACGCUUCGUUCGAGAGAAACUGUCCGUGCUUAAGAACAUAUACGUCUAAUAAAUAGUUUGCGAGAAAUUUCCAACUGGUCAAAUCAGCCAAGUCUCACUCACCAGCGAGUCCCAUUUGGAUUUGUAAACGCUCCGGAUCCACGAUCGCAGUCACUCCUUAGGAAAGACAUGCGACGUAAUGUAACUCGACGACCAAUUAACGUUAAGCUAACAAAUGUGUCCGCCAGACGACUCAAUUUACCGCGGUGCACUUAUUGUUAAUUAUGCUAUUGUCCUCAUUCAAGAGAGAACUCCUCGUAAUAGUUUUAUCCGACUGUGCAGAAUUGCUACCUUUCAGAUCGAAGCAAAUCGUCAUUAGCAGCGUAUAUUUAGCAGAUGUUUGUGAUCUCGAUUUGUGAUUAAUUGAACGUGAUUAAGAUUAAGAUUAUUAAUGCAUUGAAAUACUCACGUCGAUAACAUUUCGACUUUUGCACAGAAGAUGUAACAAUAUCUCUAAAACUUGCAGUUAUAAUCGUAAAUUAAUUAAUUAUGAAAUAGUCAUAAAUCUUUUCAACGAUGAUGGCGCGAGUACUAUUAUUAUGACUAAACACACAAGAAAGAUGUGUUUUUUUUUUAUUUUCAAAAAUCUUAAUCUGAAUUAUAGAAGUAGUAUCCCUCUCCCGAAAUGACAAUUGUUGUGAUCAAUGGACACAAUUAUACGUAAUAAUAUACUUCUUA